UUGUGGUUUUAAGCAUGUUUUAUGGUUCUUUUCCCAUCAUUUUGUGGUCGUUACCUGUUUAUUCUGCCAGUGCAGCACUUUCAUUUACUGUUUUCCAGCAGAUAGCCUGAAUUCCUGCUUUACAAACAAACAGCCAAAGCCUAAAAGAUGGAUAAAAGGCUCAAUAAAUUUUAAAAAAUUAGGUCCGUCUGGUGUGCUCAGGACUGGAUCCAAGAGGAUUUGGCUGAAUGGGCCGGAGCCAGCUUUGGGUUUCCUACCCACACAAGGUUUUAUGGAUGGAAAUUACCAGGGAUUUAUACAUACCAGAUGAAAUUAUCACAGGUUCUUCAUGGCUGUGCUGCGAACACUGAGGUGUGAUAGAAGGAGCCCCAAGGAAUCAGUAUGAGAUCUUCAGCCAAGACUUUCAGAUUUACAUCCAUUAGUAGAAGUUUAAGAUAAUGUUAUGUUUCACAUGUGUAAUCAUGAAAAAUAUCUCUGGGGCCUGGUAGCAGUUCAUAAAGGGUCUUUGUUGGCAAUCUUGUCAAAACCUGUUUAGGCAAAAUCACUUAAUUUACAACAAGAAUCAAAGCAUGAAAAAAGUAAAGGAUGGUUUAAAGAUGUAAUGGUAGUAACUGCAAAAGUGACAGAAAUGCUAACAGGCUCAGUACCAAUCGACCAAAUCACAACGUUAAACACUUUACCAGAUGUGGAUAAACUCCAGGACAGGAAAGGUGUCUGCCUUCAGGCCACUGAUUUACUCUUCCCCAGCUGUUUUCUGAAGCUCAACACUUCCACAGUGAGAGCAGCGAUUCACUGUUGUGAUGUCAAACCAUCAAGGUCCUUGAUGUUGAAAGGGAGAGCCUAUAGCUGCAGAGGGAACAACUGACCAUCCUGCUCUCAUGUAAAAGCUAAAAUCUCAUCACAGCAUGGCAGCGCUCUCUUGUUGCUAUGAUCAUGCUGUCCUGUCACUGACUGCAGGAAAAUACGCCACACUCAACCCCCACCUCCAAGUUGUUUAAGGAAAGACAGAAAGCCGAGUUCUCAGUUUGAAAUACAAAAUGUACUUAUUACUGUCAGUAACCUCUGGUGUUGCAUUCUGAUUAUGAGUAGGAAGAGAAAGAGAGGAAAAGCCGUCAGAAGGUCAUAAAACUUAUUCUGAUUUUAUUUUCAGUAGUUACAUGUUGACAUAAAAUACAUCAGGUUUUAGAUUAUUUGAAAAAUGAUUUUAGAUUCAUGAAGAUGAUUUUAUUGCUAAAUUAGAUAUUGAGACAUAUUAUAUAAAACAAGUUUUAAAAUCAUCACUUUGUUUUGAAUUGACAAAGUAUCUCGAAUCAAACCGUUUGCAUAAAGACAUAAUACUGCAAAAGCUAAAAGUGUCCAGAAAUGAGCGACUGCAUUCAGAACAUUUUUAUAGAGGCCUGUUAAAGUCCAGCCUUCAAAGUCUUACAGGUUUUCACUUUUGGUCAGGAGUAAAUUCUGGCAGUAAAUGUUGAUGAAUAAAGCAGGAUCUGCAGCCCA
This is a long non-coding RNA of Poecilia latipinna (sailfin molly), 1497 nucleotides long. RefSeq lists it as uncharacterized. The record is from RefSeq and is a predicted model, not a curated record. The transcript has 2 exons. Lineage: Eukaryota; Metazoa; Chordata; Actinopteri; Cyprinodontiformes; Poeciliidae.